GGGGGCGAUCGGAUUCGACGGGAAGCUGGUGAGUCGGGGCUGCAAGCCGAGAUCUCCGCUGUCCUCGUUAAACGCGGAAACCCAAUACCUGCCAACAACGAACUGGCACUCGCAGCUUAGUUGCUGUGACGUCCGCCUGACCCUCGCCGAUCAGGUUGGGACCGGGCGUAAUGAGAUCGGCCGAAGCGUGCGCCUGUGCUCGGUUAGCGCACGGGGGUAUUAGAAUCGAGCCCUCUGAAGUGGACCCCGCGCCCGGGGGCCGCCUCAGAUAAGUAAAGCGGGCGCUAAGCUUGUAGAUGCUCCGGACACGGUUUUUCGGACGCGGGUUCAAUUCCCGCCGCCUCCACCA
Molecule: transfer-messenger RNA, 349 nt
Filed under: Armatimonadota
Lineage: Bacteria; Bacillati
Also listed under: 1 other name
Description: UBA5352 sp002411015 Standard tmRNA
Rfam family: transfer-messenger RNA
About the family: Bacterial tmRNA, also known as 10Sa RNA or SsrA, is named for its dual tRNA and mRNA-like properties. Its role is to liberate the mRNA from a stalled ribosome.
Source: RNAcentral